UGUAUGUGGACUUGGAUGUUGCCGUGAAUAAACAAACGGCUCGUCUGAAAUGCCUGAGUGUACCCCGCUUUGCGGCGUAUUCGGUGUGAUAAAUCUUCACCGGAGUUGAUCCCUUUAUGGGGUCGCGUCUGUAAUGGUGUGGCUCUAUGCUUCGAACCGUCUCCUAUCGAGACAAAUCUCUGACAAUUUGACCUCAAAUCGGGUGGGACUACCCGCUGAACUUAAGCAUAUCAAUAAGCGGAGGAAAAGAAACUAACAAGGAUUCCCCUAGUAACGGCGAGUGAAGAGGGAAAAGCUCAAAUUUUGAAUCUGGUGUCUUUGACUCCCGAGUUGUAAUCUAGAGAAGUGUUUUCCGUGUCGGACCGUGCACAAGUUCCCUGGAACGGGGCGUCAUAGAGGGUGAGAAUCCCGUAUAUGGCAUGGACUACCGAUGCUUUUGUGAUACACUCUCAACGAGUCGAGUUGUUUGGGAAUGCAGCUCAAAAUGGGUGGUAAAUUCCAUCUAAAGCUAAAUAUUGGCGAGAGACCGAUAGCGAACAAGUACCGUGAGGGAAAGAUGAAAAGCACUUUGGAAAGAGAGUGAAACAGUACGUGAAAUUGUUGAAAGGGAAGCGUUUGAAGUCAGUCGUAUCUGGMGGGAUUCAGCCGGGCUUUUGCCAGGUGUACUUCUCGUCCGAUGGGUCAGCAUCAAUUUCGACCGGGGGAAAAAGACGUGUGGAAUGUGGCUGUCUUCGGGCAGUGUUAUAGCCAUGCGUAGUAUGCCUCGGUUGGGAUUGAGGAACGCAGCGCGCCUAUAGGCCAGGGGUUCGCCUCUUGACACGCGC
RNAcentral lists this ribosomal RNA (824 nucleotides) under uncultured Sebacinales. RNAcentral's name for it is "eukaryotic LSU rRNA". The stretch from base 189 to 824 matches the Rfam family "Eukaryotic large subunit ribosomal RNA", at positions 1 to 620 of the family's 3401-position model. Lineage: Eukaryota; Fungi; Basidiomycota; Agaricomycetes; Sebacinales. The record is from RNAcentral.